Molecule: ribosomal RNA, 494 nt
Filed under: uncultured bacterium
Lineage: Bacteria
Description: partial 16S ribosomal RNA
Rfam family: Bacterial small subunit ribosomal RNA
Source: RNAcentral
GACGAACGCUGGCGGCGUGCUUAACACAUGCAAGUCGAACGGUGAAGCGCCUUCCUUUUUGGUGGGUGCGGAUGAGUGGCGAACGGGUGAGUAACACGUGAGUAACCUGCCCCCUUCUUCUGGAUAACCGCAUGAAAGUGUGGCUAAUACGGGAUAUUCUGGGUCUGUCGCAUGAUGGGUCUGGGAAAGAUAUUGUUUCGGUGGGGGAUGGGCUCGCGGCCUAUCAGCUUGUUGGUGGGGUGAUGGCCUACCAAGGCGGUGACGGGUAGCCGGCCUGAGAGGGUGGACGGUCCCACUGGGACUGAGACACGGCCCAGACUCCUACGGGAGGCAGCAGUGGGGAAUAUUGCACAAUGGGCGCAAGCCUGAUGCAGCGACGCCGCGUGAGGGAUGGAGGCCUUCGGGUUGUGAACCUCUUUCGCCAGUGAAGCAGGCCUGCCUCGUUUGUGGGUGGGUUGACGGUAGCUGGAUAAGAAGCGCCGGCUAACUACGUG